UCUUCAGGCUUCAUAGGGACCGAAAUUUUCUGAUUUGAACAGCCAUCAAAGCACGCACGAGGACCUCCAAGAGGACCCUACUGUGGAAGUUUGAACUCUUCCUCCAAUUUACUUGCUUGCAUAACUUGGUUUGAACUCGGAGGUAAAAUGGAGAAGCCCUCUUGAUGUACUUUUGUUUAGGGCUUGUUAUUACUUUUGGUUAUGCCUUUGGUUUUGGAAUUGUACUUUUGG
Long non-coding RNA from Coffea eugenioides, 231 nucleotides. RefSeq lists it as uncharacterized. Lineage: Eukaryota; Viridiplantae; Streptophyta; Magnoliopsida; Gentianales; Rubiaceae. The record is from RefSeq and is a predicted model, not a curated record. The transcript is spliced from 3 exons.